This 287-nucleotide ribosomal RNA is filed under the name uncultured bacterium. RNAcentral describes it as "partial 16S ribosomal RNA". It matches the Rfam family "Bacterial small subunit ribosomal RNA", at positions 28 to 334 of the family's 1533-position model. The record is from RNAcentral.
GAUGAACGCUGGCGGUAUGCCUAACACAUGCAAGUCGUACGAGAGUUUUUAACUCUAGUGGCGGACGGGUGAGUAACACGUGAGAAUUUGCCUUUAGGAGGGGGAUAACAAUUGGAAACGAAUGCUAAUACCCCAUAUGCUUUCGAGUGAAAUGGAUUUAUAUUUAUCCGCCUAGAGAGAAGCUCGCGGCUGAUUAGCUUGUUGGUAAGGUAAGAGCUUACCAAGGCGACGAUCAGUAUCUGGUUUGAGAGGACGAUCAGACACACUGGAACUGAGACACGGUCCAG